This 253-nucleotide ribosomal RNA is filed under the name uncultured bacterium. RNAcentral's name for it is "partial 16S ribosomal RNA". It matches the Rfam family "Bacterial small subunit ribosomal RNA", at positions 524 to 776 of the family's 1533-position model. The record is from RNAcentral.
UACGUAGGGGGCUAGCGUUGUCCGGAAUCAUUGGGCGUAAAGCGCGUGUAGGCGGUCCGGUAAGUCCGCUGUGAAAGUCGGGGGCUCAACCCUCGAAUGCCGGUGGAUACUGUCGGGCUAGAGUACGGAAGAGGCGAGUGGAAUUCCUGGUGUAGCGGUGAAAUGCGCAGAUAUCAGGAGGAACACCAAUUGCGAAGGCAGCUCGCUGGGACGUUACUGACGCUGAGACGCGAAAGCGUGGGGAGCGAACAGG